This 1251-nucleotide long non-coding RNA is filed under the name Equus caballus (horse). RNAcentral describes it as "lncRNA (ENSECAG00000044929.1)". The record is from RNAcentral. Lineage: Eukaryota; Metazoa; Chordata; Mammalia; Perissodactyla; Equidae.
AGCAGGUGUUUCCAUCACUGUGGAGGAAACUGAAGCACAGAGAGGUGAAGUCACUUGCUCAAGAUCACACAGCAACCAAGAGACUCAAGUGCAGAUCUGCAGGAGCCCGAGGCCUUGUCUUUCCAGUCCACCCUGCUGUCUGUCUCUUCUAAUGAAUCACAGACAGACUUCAGACUCAGAAGAUCAAUGAGGAAGUGUUCCGACAAUAAAGACAUCAUCGAUAUAUUAACUCACGUCUUCAGAGCUUCAGGCACAUUCUGCAGAGACGUCCUCCAAAUGGAAAACAACGCUGCAGUAAAGCGGACAGUGUGGGCCCGGCUGUCACGGCUUUGAUGGCUGGACUUGGAGCAAGGAGGGCAGAAGAGGAGUGAACGCUCACCAGCCCAGGACCCGGCGGGGACGGAUGACCCCCGUCCAGGCGGCCGGCCCAGAGCUGCCUCCACUCCCAUGUUGCUUCCCCUCCGUCUGCUUCUGCAGAGACGUUUCGAGAAGCAGUGGCUGCUUGUCACAGCCAGGCUCUGCCUCUGAAGCUGGUGACAGCCCCACGGGAAGGCGUCCGGGCUGCUUCUCGGGCUCCCACAGGCCCUGGGCCCUGCGAAGGCUUCUGCGGCACAGGGGCGCCGGGGGCGCAGGGGGCCCUGGGGGAGGAUUUGUUCCAUGGGCCUCAGCGCCCUAGGGAGGAGAGUGGUCUCCCCCGUUUCACAGAGGAGGAAAGCUGAGCUGGAAGAGGAUACCGAUUUGUCCAGUGUCACCCCUCCUGGGGAGAGCCAGGAUGGCGUCCGGGGCGCUCUGAGAGGAAGGGGGAGUGAGCCACACAGGGACACGGCGCCCAAGGCUCCGGGUCCUGGCGGGCAGUCGGGGGCCCUCCAGCCAACACCCCCUUUAGCCUCCAUGUCACAGUUGGGCCACCUUCUCCUUGGUGGGAUUCACUCAUUCAUUCACUUAUCCAACAACAGAUACCCAUGGAGAAUCUUCUAGAAGCCCAGGCUUGUGCCACUGCAGGGAGAGGAAUAAACAAAACAGUAAGCCUCCAGUCUCACUGGUUUUCGGGGGUCAGGCCCCGUUCCCGCCACCCCCAGGGACCCUCCUCGUUACAGAAGGGGCAGCUUCACCCUGGUCUGCCUCAGAUUUCUUCUCCCCUCCCCGGAGCAGCCCCCAGAUGGGAGUGAGACCCUCCCUCCCUCCCUCCCUCCCCACAGCCCACCCGGGCCUCUGCCCCGGAGCCUUAUGCUUUCAGCUCUGCCGGGACAG